This is a long non-coding RNA of Macaca mulatta (Rhesus monkey), 2935 nucleotides long. Lineage: Eukaryota; Metazoa; Chordata; Mammalia; Primates; Cercopithecidae. The record is from Ensembl.
UCAGCGCGCAUGGGACACCGGCUUUCUGACAUUUUUACAGCUCAGCGGUUCUCAAGAGUUUUGUUUCUCCAGUGGAAGUAACAGGCUGACUUUGUAGGGACGCGCAGCCGUCCGUAUAUGCGUAUAGUAUUCAGAGGUUCCUUCUGUAAGGACCGAUUUGGAAGACUCGUAAGGAAACAGUGUUCUUUAAGCAAACAUUGGCAAUGGAUUUAAAUGCUCAGAAUUUGAACAAAUCAACGACUGCAGGUGAAAUUAACUUGCUAACUGUAAAAUAUAUUAUUCGACAUUGAAACAGGAAAUCCCACAUGAGCACAUGCUGAUGAAGAAGAAUCCUCUCAUGAGACCAUUGGCAUGGACUGAAGGAGAGGCAGCAAGACCUCAGGAUCUUUCCUCAAGAGGACUAAGCCUCCCCAUCACUCAAGAGACCCUGGAUUCAAGAGCUGCCUAACAUCUAGAAACUUGGUAAGAGGUCAAGACUUUAAUGUAAUUUGAUUCAGAUUUCUAGCCACCAGACAUAGAGUUCUUACUGUUGUAUUGAUCAAGUGAUACUUCAGUAGGCUGACCAUUUAUUCCAAGAUGUAUCAUGAUCCAUAGUCUGCUAGGUUAAGACAUUUUGAUUAUAUUCCAGUACUUUCUGCUGUCAUUACAGUAAUUUCCUCUACCAUGUUUCUGUUAGUUAAGUGCUUCCACGUGGCCUGUAUCUCUUCUGAAUCCCAUCAUUUCCACUGUCUCAUUGGCAGCCUCUCUUACUGUCAUCUCACCAUCAUGGAGCUUCUCAAGGAUGCUUGCUCUCACUUCAUUAAUGCAUUUCUCAUGGAAUAAUGAACAGAGUGCCUUCUUAGCCUUCCGGAAGGAUAUAAUGGGGGAUGGAUGUGCAUAUUGCAAAUGAUAAAUGAGCUUCACAUUCUGUUCCUCUGAUCUAUGAGUACACUCCUCCGUGUCUAUGCCAAGGACAUUCUAACAGGUCAACUUUGUAGAACAUUGAGCCCAAAGUUCAAUCAGUCAGCCAAGCAAACUGUUAGAGCUGCUUCCAGCGGUGCUAGUUCACACACCUUAAACCCAGAAUCUCUUGUAAAUGCAUUCAUAUGAGUACAUUUGAUAUGAUCUAAUUUUAUGUCUUUCCUUUUCGAGUACCACUUGUCAAAUUCAUUUCUAACGUAUUUCCUAGGUUUUCUCUACAUACUUCCCAAUCUCUCUACAUAUUAGAAAAGUCUGGAAAUUCUUUCAGCAUAUGAGCUAUGUCUUCCUGGGUUAAACUUAACACUCAUCACCUUAGAGGAUCCUGAUAUUUGACUCCAGUUAUGAGUCUAGUCAUUCAGGAGUGGUCAGGGAGGGUCUUGAGGAUAGGAAUCUCUUUGCAAGGCAACUUCCCUGAGCUGUACAGGAUCUUUAAGCAAACCUUGUCUCCUCAGACACACAGGAGGGUAGACUAUUCUAUUUCUUCUUGCAAGAGAGGCUUGGAGAGACUUGGGAGUUACAACAUUUCAACUUUGUUCAGUUACACUUAGAGAACCCCAUUACAAGUCUCUGGUCUACUCCCUCUGAGUGUCAUAAAUAUAAGAUAGUAUGUCUUAUGACAAGUCUGUGAAUUCAACUGAAGUUAUCAUUUUGCAACCCAGACAACCAAAUUUUGGGCCUGAUUUUCAGUAAGUUUGACUCUAUAGCUAUAUAAAAAAAAUAGUAGAUUAUCUUAGGGCCAUCAUGGAUUCUCUGUAGUUCUUUGUGAUUUGAGAUGAUUUUUUUUUUUUUUUUUUGAGACAGAGUCUAAUUCUGUUGCCCAGGCUGGAGUGCAGUGGCCUGAUCUUGGUUCACUGCAGCCUCCACCUCCUGGUUCAAGCGAUUCUCUUGCCUCAGCCUCUCAAAUAGCUGGGAUUACAGGCACCUGCCACCAGGCCUGGCUAAUUUUUGUAUUUUUAGUAGAGAUAGGGUUUUGCCAUGUUGUCCAGGCUGCUCUCAAACUCCUGACCUCAAGUGAUCCACCUUCCUUGGCCUCCCAAAGUGCUGGGAUUACAGGUGUGAGCCAUCAUGCCCAUGUGGGAUGAAUCUUUAAAACCCUGGUUUUAAGCUGGGCGCAGUGAUGUACACCUGUAAUCCCAGCUACUCAGGAGGCUGAGGUGGAAGGAUUGCCUGAGCCCAGGAGUUUGAAGCCAGCCUGGACAACGUUGCAAGACUCCAUUAAAAAAGAAAACAAAAAAUCAAACCAAAACAAAAAAAAACACUAACUCUGAUUUUUUUUUCUGUAUUCUCUUUAGUGUAGUCAGAAGCAGCUAAUCCACCCCACAGUUCUUACAGUCUUUAUUACUACCAUAGCCACUUGGUCUUUCAAGCCACUUGUUUCAGUAAAACGUAGACACUUCACACAAACAACUACAGGUGAUAAUUUUGUUCCUCAUAUGCCCUGCAUAUCCGCAAACCACUAGGUUCCAAUUUCCAAUUAACAAAGAGUUCAGUACUGCUUUCAAAGUUGAAGACAUAACCAAACAAUCCUAAAUCCCAUUUUUUGAGAGUUUAUUUCCUGGGAGUACUCUGUCACCAGGUACCACAUUGGUUAGGGUGUACUCAGGAAACAGAAACCACACUAGUCAUUUCAGCAGAGAGAAUGUAAUAUAAGAAAUGUGUUAUGGGCUAAGCGCGGUGGCUCAUGCCUGUAAUUCCAGCACUUUGGGAGGCCGAGGCAGAUGAAUCACUUGAGGUCAGGAGUUCGAGACCAGCCUGGCCAACAUGGCAAAAUGUAUUUUUAUUUUACACACACACACACACAAAGAAAUUAGCUGGGUAUGGUGGCUUGCACCUGUGGUCCCAGCAACUUAGGAGAUUGAGGCAGAGGAUCACCUGAGCCCAGGAGGCAGAGGUUGCAGUGCCACUGCACUCCAGCCUGGGUGACAGAGCGAGACUCCAUCUCAAAAAAAUUUUUAAAAAAUAAAAAAAAAAAAAA